RNAcentral lists this ribosomal RNA (475 nucleotides) under uncultured bacterium. Its description in RNAcentral is "partial 16S ribosomal RNA". It matches the Rfam family "Bacterial small subunit ribosomal RNA", at positions 28 to 507 of the family's 1533-position model. The record is from RNAcentral.
GAUGAACGCUGGCGGCGUGCUUAACACAUGCAAGUCGAACGAUGAACCUCACUUGUGGGGGGAUUAGUGGCGAACGGGUGAGUAACACGUGAGUAACCUGCCCUUGACUCUGGGAUAAGCCUGGGAAACCGGGUCUAAUACUGGAUACGACCUUCUGGCGCAUGCCAUGUUGGUGGAAAGCUUUUGUGGUUUUGGAUGGACUCGCGGCCUAUCAGCUUGUUGGUGGGGUAAUGGCCUACCAAGGCGACGACGGGUAGCCGGCCUGAGAGGGUGACCGGCCACACUGGGACUGAGACACGGCCCAGACUCCUACGGGAGGCAGCAGUGGGGAAUAUUGCACAAUGGGCGCAAGCCUGAUGCAGCGACGCCGCGUGAGGGAUGAAGGCCUUCGGGGUGUAAACCUCUUUCAGUAGGGAAGAAGCCGGCUUUUGGGUUGGUGACGGUACCUGCAGAAGAAGCGCCGGCUAACUACGUG